RNAcentral lists this ribosomal RNA (374 nucleotides) under uncultured bacterium. RNAcentral describes it as "bacterial SSU rRNA". It matches the Rfam family "Bacterial small subunit ribosomal RNA", at positions 329 to 720 of the family's 1533-position model. The record is from RNAcentral.
CUCCAGACUCCUACGGGAGGCAGCAGUGGGGGAUAUUGCACAAUGGGGGAAACCCUGAUGCAGCGACGCCGCGUGGGUGAAGAAGCGCCUCGGCGCGUAAAGCUCUGUCAGCAGGGAAGAAAAUGACGGUACCUGAAGAAGAAGCCCCGGCUAACUACGUGCCAGCAGCCGCGGUAAUACGUAGGGGGCAAGCGUUAUCCGGAGUUACUGGGUGUAAAGGAGGCGCAGACGGCGAUGCAAGCCAGGAGUGAAAGCCCGGGGCCCAACCCCGGGACUGCUCUGGAAACUGCGUCGCUGGAGUACGGGAGGGGCAAGCGGAAUUCCUGGUGUAGCGGUGAAAUGCGUAGAUAUCAGGAGGAACACCGGCGGCGAAG